Molecule: ribosomal RNA, 510 nt
Filed under: uncultured bacterium
Lineage: Bacteria
Description: partial 16S ribosomal RNA
Rfam family: Bacterial small subunit ribosomal RNA
Source: RNAcentral
GACGAACGCUGGCGGCGUGCUUAACACAUGCAAGUCGAACGAAGAGCGAUGGAAGCUUGCUUCUAUCAAUCUUAGUGGCGAACGGGUGAGUAACGCGUAAUCAACCUGCCCUUCAGAGGGGGACAACAGUUGGAAACGACUGCUAAUACCGCAUACGAUCUAAUCUCGGCAUCGAGGAUAGAUGAAAGGUGGCCUCUACAUGUAAGCUAUCACUGAAGGAGGGGAUUGCGUCUGAUUAGCUAGUUGGAGGGGUAACGGCCCACCAAGGCGAUGAUCAGUAGCCGGUCUGAGAGGAUGAACGGCAACAUUGGGACUGAGACACGGCCCAGACUCCUACGGGAGGCAGCAGUGGGGAAUCUUCCGCAAUGGACGAAAGUCUGACGGAGCAACGCCGCGUGAGUGAUGACGGCCUUCGGGUUGUAAAGCUCUGUUAAUCGGGACGAAAGGCCUUCUUGCGAAUAGUGAGAAGGAUUGACGGUACCGGAAUAGAAAGCCACGGCUAACUACGUG